This 206-nucleotide microRNA precursor is filed under the name Oryza glumipatula. RNAcentral describes it as "MIR812 microRNA precursor family". It matches the Rfam family "MIR812 microRNA precursor family". The record is from Rfam by way of RNAcentral. Lineage: Eukaryota; Viridiplantae; Streptophyta; Magnoliopsida; Poales; Poaceae.
AAAAAGUAAAUUCUAGGUUUCCGUGUCCAACUUUAACUGUCCGUCUUAUAUGAAAUUUUUUUAUAUUUCGUAUUUUUAUUGUUGUUAGAUGAUAAAACAUGAUUAAUAUUUUAUGCGUGACUUGUCUUUUUAAUUUUUUUCAUAAUUUUUUUCAAAUAAGACGGACGGUCAAACGUUGGACACGGAAACCAAGGUUUGUCUUUUUU